This 431-nucleotide ribosomal RNA is filed under the name uncultured bacterium. Its description in RNAcentral is "partial 16S ribosomal RNA". It matches the Rfam family "Bacterial small subunit ribosomal RNA", at positions 29 to 506 of the family's 1533-position model. The record is from RNAcentral.
AACGAACGCUGGCGGCAUGCCUAACACAUGCAAGUCGAACGAGACCUUCGGGUCUAGUGGCGCACGGGUGCGUAACGCGUGGAACCUGCCCUUAGGUUCGGAAUAACUCCCCGAAAGGGGUGCUUAUACCGGAUAAUGUCUUUGGACCAAAGAUUUAUCGCCUUUGGUUGGGCCCGCGUUGGAUUAGCUAGGUGGUAGGGUAAAAGCCUACCAAGGCGACGAUCCAUAGCUGGUCUGAGAGGAUGAUCAGGCACACUGGGACUGAGACACGGCCCAGACUCCUACGGGAGGCAGCAGUGGGGAAUAUUGGACAAUGGGCGAAAGCCUGAUACAGCAAGGCCGCGUGAGUGAUGAAGGCCUUAGGGUUGUAAAGCUCUUUUACCCGGGAUGAUAAUGACAGUACCGGGAGAAUAAGCUCCGGCUAACUCCGU